Molecule: long non-coding RNA, 1043 nt
Filed under: Pogona vitticeps (central bearded dragon)
Lineage: Eukaryota; Metazoa; Chordata; Lepidosauria; Squamata; Agamidae
Description: lncRNA (ENSPVIG00000020504.1)
Source: RNAcentral
AUGCCGGGCAUUGGUUGCCAUGCCCUGCCCUUCCUGGAUGCCACGGAGCAGGCGGGCAGCCACCUCCUUUUGCCUGGACCACCAAAGGCCAUUGACCGACCCCUUCUGACAAGGCCACAGAUGCACAGGGAGCUGCAGCACUUUUCAGCUGGGAUUCAACUGUUCAGAGUGGAAGCUGCCGUUGAUGGUAUUGCACCAGGGCAGAGAAGCAGCGGCUCCCGUGUGCAUGCUUCAGGCCGCAAACAAUGGGGCCCAGAGGACAGCCACGAAUUUACUGGGUGGCUGGUUCUCUCGGGCUUAGCAUGCACAAGGAAACACAGCCAGGCUUCUGUGCACCCCCGCCUCUGUGCAAUCUAAGUCAUUCACACGGGGUGGCUGGUCGGCCAGCGCAAAGGGGGUGCCACCCCCCCUGCCUCGGGCUCUGCCCGGUUGGCCCACUCCGGCCUGCUUCUUUACAGAAGUCGGGUGUGGGGGGGGCUUGCCUGCCUUUGCCCCCCCCCUCUUGUCAAACCCUCCACUUCACCCUAUAUGUGAGGGUGGGUGUUUUGCAUGUGGGGUGAGGAAAGAUAAUAAGAGAACGUGGACGAUUAAGGCAUAUGCUCUGUUUCUGAAACCAGGCACAGUGGAGAGCAGCGCUACUAAUCUCAGCUUUGCAUCUAGCCCUCUCUCUCUCUCUCUCUCUCUGUUUUUCUGAAGGGACUUGUGCAGGAGAUGCUCCCACACGAGGAACACUGGUGAGGGCAGUGAGGGCAUCACAAGCUCCAGAAAACACCUUUGUAGGUGGUGCAAGCUCUGAAUCUGAUCCUCCUGCAUAAACCUGUUUCUCUCCAGACCAAACCAACCCUCUGCCUUGUCUCUGAAGACUGAAGCUGGGGAGGGGGAAUAACAGACCCCCCCCACUCCAUCUUACAGCUCAGCUGCCUUUGUUUUCCUUCCUCAGGAAGAGCGAGAGGUGCAUCCAGUCUCCAGAAGUAGGUUGCCUGCAGAGUUGUAAACAGACAAACAAACAAAUAAAAUAGUAAUGUUAUUCGAAGUACUGUGCA